GGGGAGGAGUGGAGCACCUCUCGGGCACCUGAGGUUCAACUAGGAGAGGAGGGAGGUGUGUGCGGUGGCCAGAAGGAAGGGGAGGCCCGGCGGAUUCGGCGAGAAGGGGAGGGAGGAGAGAGAGAGCCUCCUGGCGCGGACGGAACCCGCCUCUCGUUGCCAAGGUGUCUUCUUGGAAUCGAAGAAGGACACCUGAGGGACCGUUACUAGCCAGAGAGGUGGCAGCGCCGGAGUCACCGAGGCUGCCGUGCUCGUCUAAGGGGAGCAGAGUCCCCACCCCUGACAGCUUGCCGCUGCUGCCCGCCUGCCGCGCCCGGCGAAAACUCGGAAAGAGAUUUCCACUGGGAUGCCCUGCCAGCUGCCACCUUCAUUCGGAAGGCGGUGUGGGGCUAAAGAUCCUGAGGACGAGGAACGGGAAAGAUUCCUUGCUUUACAGCUGCCGCCCCACCAAACCUCUCCCACAUUCUAAGCAAAGGAGGAUUCCUGGGACAGCUGCUCCGAACAGAGUGGAGGCGGGGUUAAUUUGCGCCUAGAUCGCUGAGGGGUGUUUUUCCUCUCCUGAUCUUCUAAUUUGAAAGUUAGGUUCGCAUCGUUCUCAGUUUAAGAGACCAAUUAUAUGGGGAUAGAAACCAGCACAGGUCAUCAUAAUCUGGGCCCCUCCCGUCCACUCCCACUAUUAAGGUUACUGUUAACAUUAUUAACAGUAAAGCAUUCUUCCUGAUGCAUUAGUGGAAAACAUAUUAUAGAGGAAAGUAGCUUUUCACCCUUAGGGUACUCUUUGAAUCCUUAAGGCCUUAAAAAUAGAUAAUGUUUAAAAUACUCGCAGUUAAAAGAAAAAGAAAAGAAAAGAAAAGAACUCGCAGUUAAAAGGAACCAAAAGGUGGGGUCAAAGAAAAGUUACGAAGUUCUACAGAGAAGUCAGAAGAAAAAUUAUAUUGGUUUGAGAGAGGCAAUAGUUUCCCUGAGAAAAAGUUAUUUGAGAUGGGCUUGGAAAGUGAACUGGAUUUUAUCACAUGGAACUAUGGGAGGAGGGAGGCAGCGUGAGAAAAGAGAGGCACAGGAAUGUCCACUGUAGAAGUUUUAAAAGUUUACAACUUUUUGGAGUUCCAGUCAUGGUGCAGUGGAAGCAAAUCUGACUAGGAGCCAUGAGGUUGCAGGUUGGGUCCCUGGCCUUGCUCAGUGGGUUAAGGAUCUGGCAUUGCCAUGAGCUGUGGUGCAGGUCACAGACGCACUAAAAUGAAUUCAACUGUACCGCAUCUCAUGGUUACAAAUGUUUGUUAAAGAUUUGUUUUCCAUGAGUAGGUUUAAUAUCCCAAAUGUUUUUCUCAUGAUCUGAAAUGAUGACUUGUACAUUGCCAGGGUAAAAGGCAGUAUCAACAGCUUGCCAUUCCUGAAAAUUUAAGCACCUCAGGUUUAUAUUCUAAGUCCUUCAAUGAAUGUCAGCAAAAGGGGGAAGUAGGUGUGCCAGCAGGAGAGAGACAACUUUCACUUCACUGUUAACGCAUUCGGAAGGAGGAAGGCAGGCAUUAAGCCUGACUUCUCACAGAAUCUUGUUGCCUGGGUUUGGACAAAUAGUUUAACCUUGAGUAUGUUAACAUAUCUGGCGAAUAAGUGCUAGUAGAAUAUUCACUAACAAAUAAAUGUCCUCCAUUGAGAAGAAACAGAUAAUAAUAGUGAAACACCCUAAACACAGAGUGGUCACAGGUAUUCAAUCUAAAUGAUCUAAGGUUAAGUUUUGUGUCUGUCAUGGAUUUGUCAGCUCCCUAUUAACGCUGUUCUACUGGUGAAACAAAAGGAGACAUAAGACAAUUAGCCAACUGUUGUUUACAAUUUUUCAGAAUUAUUCAGUCUCCUGCUUUACUUUGCCUCUGGUUACAGUAAAAUAGUUGGCAAUAAUCAGAGGUUCACUGCAGAAGGAAGGACGAGGAAAACUUCACUUCUAGCUAAGUCACAGUUAAAACAACAGUAGCUGUGGAUUAUCGUGUAGGUGUGAAGAAUACAGCCGUUCAGUUCCCCCUCAUGGCUCAGCGAUUAAUGAACCUGACUAGUAUCCACAAAGAGGAGGGUUUGAUCCCUGGCCUCACUCAGUGGGUUAAGGAUCCAGCAUUGCCAUCAGCUGUGGUGUAGGUCACAGAUGCGGCGCAGAUUCUCCGUUGCUGUGGCUGUGGUGUAGGCUGGCAGCUGUAGCUCUGGUCUGACCCCCUAGCCUGGGAACCUCCAUGUGCCCAGGGUAUGGCCCUAAAAAGACAAAAAAAAAAAAAAA
RNAcentral lists this long non-coding RNA (2263 nucleotides) under Sus scrofa (pig). Its description in RNAcentral is "lncRNA (ENSSSCG00040030477.1)". The record is from RNAcentral. Lineage: Eukaryota; Metazoa; Chordata; Mammalia; Artiodactyla; Suidae.